GAUUGCCUUAGUAACUGCGAGUGAAGCGGCAAGAGCUCAAAUUUGAAAUCUGGCACCUUCGGUGUCCGAGUUGUAAUUUGUAGAAGCAUCUUUUGGAUUGGUCCUUGCAUAUGUUCCUUGGAACAGGACAUCAUAGAGGGUGAGAAUCCCGUUCAUGGUGGGGAAUCCAAUUCUUUGUAAAGUGCUUUCGAAGAGUCGAGUUGUUUGGGAAUGCAGCUCUAAGUGGGUGGUAAAUUCCAUCUAAAGCUAAAUAUUGGCGAGAGACCGAUAGCGAACAAGUACAGUGAUGGAAAGAUGAAAAGAACUCCGAAAGGAGAGUGAAAAAGGACGUGAAAUUGUUGAAAGGGAAGUGCUUGAGAUCAGUCUUAAGGUUUAGUGAUCAGUCUUCCUUUUGGUUGGUGCACUCACUAUUUCUUAGGCCAACAUCAGUUUUCGCGGCAGGAUAAUGACAUUGGAAUGUGGCUCUUUCGGGAGUGUUAUAGCCUUUGUUGAUACUGCCUGCUUAGACUGAGGACCGCGCUUUUGCUAGGAUGUUGGCAUAAUGAUCUUAAGCAGC
RNAcentral lists this ribosomal RNA (556 nucleotides) under Lipomyces tetrasporus. Its description in RNAcentral is "partial 26S ribosomal RNA". It matches the Rfam family "Eukaryotic large subunit ribosomal RNA", at positions 73 to 648 of the family's 3401-position model. The record is from RNAcentral. Lineage: Eukaryota; Fungi; Ascomycota; Lipomycetes; Lipomycetales; Lipomycetaceae.